RNAcentral lists this long non-coding RNA (882 nucleotides) under Homo sapiens (human). Its description in RNAcentral is "HSALNT0042089". Lineage: Eukaryota; Metazoa; Chordata; Mammalia; Primates; Hominidae. The record is from RNAcentral.
CAGAAAUUUGUAGUUGGUAAAAACAGUUCUUCAAUUCAAAACUGUUCUGUUGUGUUAACCUAAAAGGAAGAAACUGAGACGAAAUUUAACAGAGUUUAUUUUAGUCAAGGUUCAGGACUGCUGCCAGGCUCCCACUUCCAAGCUGCCUUGGGGAGAGUGCUCCAGAGAACAAAAGAAAGGCUCAAAUUUUUAAAGAAAAAAGGACAAAUCAGGAAGGGAGAGAUAACAAAAGUUGUUCAUUCUGAAUUCUCAACAUUGGUUUACAGAAAUAACAUUGGUUAGUGAUUGGCUAUACACUAUUGAACUAUAGGGUAUAUGACAUUUUAUAGCUACUUGGCACUAGUUAGUCUAGAGGCCCCAAAGCAAGUGGCGUAUUUAGCUCAAGGGAGAGUGAGAUGAGAAUGCUGUUACAUUUUAAAUACCUCUCUGAACCUGACAAUUUAAAGGGGCUCAUAUUCCUCAGAUUAAAAGUUUCUCUUUUCCCCCCACAGUUGUUUUCAAGCCAUGAAUACAAAUCAUAAAUAUAGUAUUAUUAAUAAUCUAAUCUGUCCUGUAAUUUUUACAGUGAACUAUUUACAAACUGAAUUGGGCAACUGGUUCAUCAGACGUUAAGAACUCUAUGUUCUUAGUACCAACUUCAGCAAGUAACUGAUUAUCAGAGUCUACUGAGUAUUCAAGAAAUUUGAGGCCAUGUGCGGUGGCUCACGCCUAUAAUCCCAGCAUUUUGGGAGGCUGGAGUGGGUGGAUCACUUGAGGUCAGGAGUUCAAGAACAGCCUGGCCAACACGGUGAAACCCCAUCUCUACUAAAAAUACAAUUAGCUGGGUGUGGUGGCAGGAACCUGUAACACCAGCUACUUGGGAGGCUGAGGCAGGAGAAUCGC